AGCAAGACUCCAUCUCCAUAAAAGAAAGAAGAAAAAAAAAAAAGCAUAAUGGCUUCAUGACAAAUUUGAAUGUGAAGAGAUGAAGAGAAUGCAUCUCAUGCAAUACUGAAAAUACAUGUCAGGGAAGACAGUAAAACAUGCUGAGAAAGAGACGUGUUGGAGCUUCAGGGUCUGCUAUAACACUGGAUGCUCAGCACACUGCCCCAUAUGAAGUCUUGCUCCCCACCUCUCUUCCAAGGCGUGGGGCUCCAUGUUUUCAUCUUCAAGUUGGUUCUCCACAGACUGGAACUAAAUAUUUAGCGAUAUGUGAGGUGAUUCCUCUAUGAGUUUCCUCCCUAAGAAAUUCAUACUGUAAGUACCACAAACUUGGUGGCUUGAAACAACAGGGAUUUAUUAUCACAUGGUUCUGGAGGUUAGAAAUCUGAAAUGAAGGUGUUGGUAAGGCCAUACCCUUUUCCUUGUCUCUAUGAUUCCUGCUGGUUACCGGCAGUCUUUGACAUUCCCCGUCACAUGUCCUUCUUCCCUCUGUGUCUGAGUGUGGUUCCAUGUAUCAUCUUUUUAAAAGACAUCAGUUGUUGGCUUUAGGACUCACCUAACAAUCAAGUAUGACCUCAUCUUAAUUAAUUACAUCUGCAAAAAAUGUACAUUUCCAAUAAGGUCACAUUCUGAGGUUCUAGGUGGACAUAAAUUUUGGGGGUAUUCAACCCAGCACACUGCCUUCGCCAGCUAGUAAUUUGUUGAAAUUCACCCUUCUGUGACUGCUAUGUAACAUGAAAUGGGUCUUUUAAAUCUAUUUCCUUAAGGCAGGGAAUGAAGGAAAGGGGCCUAAGAAAGGCAGCAAGUCCUGGAUGGAAGGUGGAUUAUGACACCUGGGAAAGUAAUAUCCGUGAUGGCUGGAGAGACUCAAACCACAAAUUUGAAUACAAGUAAUUCUAUCCAACUGCCUGAUGCCUUUGGAAUCUACCCCUUGGCCAAGGCCACAACAAAAUAUGGUAAACAGAAUGUAAGGCUAUGAUGGGAUGUAUUUAUAGCCACAGGAAAAUAUAGGGCUCUGCCUUGUGGAGGAGAUGAAAUGGAAACGAAUGUCGUCUAUAAAUAAUCAUCACUGACUUAGUACAUUCAUAAAAUUUCCCAGAAGCAGGAAACUGGAAUGAGAAUAGGCAAACCAGAAGCAAUGCACUGAGCAGUUGUUCUGCCUCCUUUCUUUUCUAGAUGACAAAACUAAAGACCCCCACAGUGAAAAUGCUUAUCCCAAUUUAGCCAGCUAUUAAGUGGCAGAACCCAAACUGGAUCUAAUAUCUCCUGACUCUGUUCUUCCUAUUUUAUCUUGAUACUCCUCAGGAAAAUGAUUAGAAUAAAAUAAAAACGUAUUUCUUGCAAGUUCUGACAAUUAUUACCUAGCAAGAGGAUUUGAGGAAAUGGCAUUUUUGAGGAAAUGGUGAGAAAUUUGCCUUUAAUUCAUUUGUGUGGAGGGAGAGUUCAUUUAAUUUCUUAGUUUAAUAUUAAGUUGUAGAAACAGUGUUUGAUAAACCGAAUCACAGGAGGAAAAAUAAGAAAAAGCUCCUUAGCAGUAGGCAUGAUGUUACAAUUUGUCAGCAGGAGGCGCUAGAGAGACAUUGCAGGAGGAAGGGCUUGCCUUCUGGGACUGGUGCGCACAGCUUCUCUACCUCUUGGGCAGUUUGGUAGCCGAGUGCCUCCAGUGAGAUGCCUCCCAGUGAAUGGCUGUCUCUUGCACCCUAGAGGGAAGACUUUUGGUAAGUUCUGAAGGGCAGAUUUCAGGAAAGUUUCACUACCAGGGCAAAACAGUGACUUUUCUGCUAUCCAGUGAGCCAAGGCUAUGCACCAUAGAGGAGGUGCCUAACAAUCAAGUGCACAAAAUGACACUCUAGGUGAAUACAAGUCAGUCUCUUUCCCUAGUGCUUGCUCAACUGACUGUAAACAAAGUAACCACGGUGGCAGGGAUGGAGGCUAUGUAUGGGCUCAAAAACAGGGACCGCCCCCACUCACCAAAACUGACCUAGCGAACACCACCAUGUGUACCUACUUUGUCAACAGCAGAGGUCAAUACUAAGCCCUUCAAGUGGUCUGUGGGAACCAGCCAGCCACCUGGUGGCAGAUUGAUUACAUUGGACCAUUUUAUUCACAGAAGAAACAGAUUAAUCCUCAGUGGAAUAGAUAUAUAUUCUGCAUAUGGAUUCGCCUUCCCUGCCUGUUAUGCUUCAGCUAGCCCUACUAUCUAUGUACUUACAAAAUACCUUAGUCAUCUUCUUGGUAUUCUGCACAGCAUUGUUUCUCAUCAAGGAGCUCAUUUCACAGCAAAUGAAGGAUAGCAAUGAGUUCAUAUCUGGAAGGAAUCAAUUGGUCUUACCACCCACAUACUCCAACAUCCAGAAGCAGCUGGCCUAACUGAAAGUUGGAAUGACUUACUGAAGACUCAGUUAUGGUGUCAGUUGGGAGAUAGCGCCCCAAAACAACAGCAUUCUGUCUUACAAGGUAUCAUACAUGCUUGGAAUCUGAGAUCAUUAUGAUGCUGUUUCUUCAUAGCCAGAUUACAUGGAUCUGGGCAUCAAGGGGUAAAAGCGAGCAUGACUCCUUUCACUUUUAUACCCAAUAACCCAUUUGCAGAAUUUUUCUUCCUCUUUCAGAGACUUUGAACUAUGCUGGUUUGGAAGUCAUAGUCCCCAAGGGAGGGAUUCUUCCACCAGCAGACACAAUGUUUCAAUUGAAUUGGACCAUUCAGGAAGGUGAAACUGCUUCCCAGACAUAUUAGACUUCUUAUACCAUUGGACCAACUGGAAAAUAAAAAGGAGUUGUUAUAGGUGAGGUACUUGAUCAUGGUUACCAAGAGGAACUUGUGUUGCUACUACACUAUAGGGGCAAGGACUGUGUCUGAAACUCAGGGAGUUAUCCAGGUUUGCCUCUUAUACUUCUGUGGCCACUAGUAAAUGUUAAUGGAAAACUACAGAAACCAAAAAAGUCAAGGUUAACAACUUAGAUUCUCCAGGAAUAAAGGUUUGGGUCACUAUACUGGGUAGAGAACCCCAACAAGCUGUGUUUCUGGCUGAGGAUGGAGGAUAGGUGAACUAGUUAAUGGAAGAAGGAAGAGGCAGAUAUUCAGUUUCACAACAAAUUACACAACCAAGGACAGUAAUAGCUUUGUGUAUUUUCUGUUUGCUUAUUAUAUACAAUUUUGUAUUUCAUAUUCUAACCAUUUUCAUCUUCUCUCUCUACAUUGUCGUUUGAUAUACACAUAGUUGAAACUUAACUUUACAAUGUAUUGUUUCGGUUACAGAAUAUUUAGUGGGACUAUGAAUGAAUUCGAGGAGUAAUUAAUAUAACCAGUGAUGAAUACGAUGACUGCCAGGACUGUGCAUCUUUACAUUUUGAGGAAAUGGAGCAAGAACACAGAAGGAUGUUUCCAGACUAGGAAAAAUAAUUAUACAAUACAAUACUACCUGGUUCAUUUGUGAAAAAUAUUUGCAAAAUCAUACUAUGAUGAAGACGUACCAUUAUAUUGUAUUGCAACUGUAUUUAGAGGAAGAGGAUGAACUGAAUUUCCAUUUUCUAGGCCCAUUCCAAUGACCCCUGGUUUGGAUGAGGACAUAGGACGAGGGGCUGCAAGAUCAGGAGCACAUCUAGCUCUGGCCUCUGGGGCCACAUGGUCACCUGGGGAGACUAAGACAUCCAGGAGCCUGGAAGCAGAGCAAAGAGCCAUCUCUGAAGAGGAGGAAGAACACAUCGAAGAAGAAGGUUUUUCUUCAGGAACCACCACACACUUGCUUUCGGAUGAAGUUUAAAGCCAUUAAGCUUCCCCUCCUACUUAAAGCUCUUCUUCUCUAUUUUUCCUGCAUGCCCUGGUUUUUAUCAGUGACAACACAUUGUUCCCUAAGUCUCACUGUCUCCCAAAGAGGAGCUUCAAGGUUCAUCUUUGUCUCCCCAAGUCUGAAAAUAUCAGAUAAUAUGCUUGCAACUUCAUCUUGAUGGCUUAAUUCCCGCUCCUGUCAUUUACACUUCACUUCCCUGUUUUGUCUCCUUCAUCCUGCCUUGCCCAACCCUGGGAGACUCUGUGUCUCCCAUAUUACUCCCCUGCUCGGGACCUGAAUGACUCCCUACUGCCUGCCUAAGCCAGUUCAAGUUCCCCUGGUUUCCUGGGCCUUCCAUAAUCUGUCCUGGCCUUAUCUACCCCCACUUACUUCCCAACUAGGAGGUGUUGUGGCCAUGGCAGAGGAAGGGGUAAAAGACCAGUCAUUCAGCCUUGUGUGACUAUAAAGCAGUGUACCUAUAACAAAAAUUUCCUGCUUUUAGGAGCAUAAAAAUAAGUUUUACACAAAAUCAAUAACAGAAGCACUCAGAUUGAAGCGUAUUUUUAAAGGUAUUGGUGGGAGUGAUUCAGAGUCAGCAGACACAGGGUGUGGACAUGAGCUCAGAAUGGCUUCUCUGGAGCAAAAUCUGUGAUCCUGCAAAGCAAAAGCUGCCAGUCCUUUCUCAUCACUAUCCCUUUCCUGGUGUGACGUGAUUAUGGUCAGAACUAUGUUCUCCAAAAGGAUCCAUUGAAGUCCUACCCCCAGUACGUCAGAGUGUGACCUUAUUUGGAUAUAGGGUCAUUGCAGAUAUAAUUAGUGAAAAUGAGGUCAUAGUGUAGGCCCUAAUUUAAUAUGACUGGUGUCCUUAUAAGAAGAGGGAAGAGGCCGAAUGUGGUAGCUCACGCCUGUAA
Molecule: long non-coding RNA, 4714 nt
Organism: Cercocebus atys (sooty mangabey)
Lineage: Eukaryota; Metazoa; Chordata; Mammalia; Primates; Cercopithecidae
Exons: 3
Source: RefSeq, a predicted model, not a curated record